CUAUAGGGGGACGCAGGAAGGUAGAUGAACCCGGUGAAUGGUAGAACCGGGGUAAGCGUGUAGGAGGAGGACCAGGCAAAUCCGGGCCUCAUAUACCCUUAGACGUGAUACCGAGCCGCUUCAGGCGAAGUCAUUAAUCCUAUGCUGCCUAGAAAAGCCCAGUAGCGAGUUGACAUGGUGCCCGUACCCCAAACCAACAAAGGUGGACAGGUAGAGCAUACCAAGGCGAGUGGGAUAACUAUGGUUAAGGAACUCGGCAAAUUUCCUCCGUAACUUCGGGAUAAGGAGGACCCCAGUAGCGUGACGAGACUUGCUCUCCGAGCGCGAAGGGGUGGCACAAAAUUGAGGGAAGCGACUGUUUACCAAAAACACAGCAGCGUGCUAAGCCGUAAGGCGCUGUAUACGCUGUGACUCCUGCCCGGUGCUGGAAGGUUACGGGGAUGGGUUAGUCCUUUGGGACGAAGCUCUGAACCUAAGCCCCAGUAAACGGCGGCCGUAACUAUAACGGUCCUAAGGUAGCGAAAUUCCUUGUCGGGUAAGUUCCGACCUGCACGAAUGGAGUAACGACUUCCCUACUGUCUCAACCAUAGACCCAGCGAAAUUGAAGUACGAGUAAAGAUGCUCGUUAGCUGCAGAAGGACGGAAAGACCCCGUGGACCUUUACUAUAACUUGAUGUUGUGUUUUGUCAUAUGUUGUGUAGGAUAGGUGGGAGACAAGGAAGCAUGGACGCUAGUCUGUGUGGAGUCAUCGUUGAAAUACCACCCUGCAUAUGGUGAGGCUCUAACCUAGACCCGUUAUCCGGGUUGGGGACAGCGUCAGGCGGGUAGUUUAACUGGGGCGGUUGCCUCCUACAGAGUAACGGAGGCGCCCAAAGGUUCCCUCAGCCUGGUUGGCAAUCAGGCGUCGAGUGCAAUGGCAAAAGGGAGCUUGACUGCGAGACCUACAAGUCGAGCAGGAGCGAAAGCUGGGCAUAGUGAUCCGGCGGUUGCGUGUGGAAGCGCCGUCGCUCAACGGAUAAAAGGUACCCCGGGGAUAACAGGCUAAUCUUGCCCAAGCGUCCAUAGCGACGGCAAGGUUUGGCACCUCGAUGUCGGCUCAUCGCAUCCUGGGGCUGAAGCAGGUCCCAAGGGUUGGGCUGUUCGCCCAUUAAAGCGGUACGCGAGCUGGGUUCAGAACGUCGUGAGACAGUUCGGUCCCUAUCCUCUGUAGCCGUAGGUGAAUUGAGGAAAGCUGUCCCUAGUACG
Molecule: ribosomal RNA, 1245 nt
Filed under: metagenome
Description: bacterial LSU rRNA
Rfam family: Bacterial large subunit ribosomal RNA
Source: RNAcentral